AGAGGAGAAAAGAUGCCAGUACUCCCGAUCUCCACCCCUGAGGUGGAAUAAUGGAGAUUGAAAUCGUCGAUCCUACAGUCCUUCGAGAAGGAUUCGGCAACUAUCACCUUCUAGGCAGUACGAUAGCUAUAUACCCCUGAAUGUUCUUCAAAGAGAGAUAUUGUUACAAGUAAGAUAUGAGUUACCUGAGCCUCGACUGAUGAGGAUAAAAUCGAAAUACCAUCGAGAUUUGAAUAGAUACUACUUUUACCAUCAUGACCACGAUCACGAUACUGAAGACUACCACCAACUCUGCGAUGA
RNAcentral lists this long non-coding RNA (300 nucleotides) under Elaeis guineensis (African oil palm). RNAcentral's name for it is "long non-coding RNA (EGUI_LNC029268)". Lineage: Eukaryota; Viridiplantae; Streptophyta; Magnoliopsida; Arecales; Arecaceae. The record is from RNAcentral.